Molecule: long non-coding RNA, 629 nt
Organism: Bubalus bubalis (water buffalo)
Lineage: Eukaryota; Metazoa; Chordata; Mammalia; Artiodactyla; Bovidae
Exons: 3
Source: RefSeq, a predicted model, not a curated record
CUGCAUGAGAAUAUACUACUUUACAAAGAAAAAGCCAACUGAUGGGAAAUAGCAAGACAGAACAGAUGGCAUUUCAGCACAUAAUUGUUGCCAGCAGGUGAAAAGUGUCACGGUCAGGCAUUUGGCUGACACGGCCAGCUCAAUAAUGACUGAGCCCAUCUCUUCCCAAGUGUCUGCCUCCACUGUCUGGGCUCUUAACUGCUGAGCUGUGCUGAAGCAUCUUCUGACCUUCUCACCAGAGCCAUGUUCUCCUCAACGUGGUCUUCUCAUUUGGAAGCUGACAGUCUCAGCUGAGAAUGUCCUCUGCUCAGAGUUGCCUUUUCUGACCACUGCAGCCAGGCAUGAAACGAGAGAAUGAGGGUGCCGUUCCAGAUGAGUGCACAUUCAAAAUCAUUCAAACUCUACUUGGACGAGGAGAGGCAAAUUAAUAAUGAGAACAAACAGGCCUUUGGAAUUGGGCUUCCUCCUCCUCCCUUCUUUGUAAAAUGGAAUCCUUUUCCUAACAGUGAUGAAGGAAAAAACACCAGAGUGAACACACUGCGGAAGGCACUGGCACAAUUGGUUCUUUUGGUCUAUGCAGACCUCAAUGAAGUAAAGGCUAAACUAUGUAUGUAAUAAAACCAGAUAAU